Molecule: long non-coding RNA, 13920 nt
Organism: Gallus gallus (chicken)
Lineage: Eukaryota; Metazoa; Chordata; Aves; Galliformes; Phasianidae
Exons: 8
Source: RefSeq, a predicted model, not a curated record
GGGGGAUUCUGAUCGCUGCGCAAGGGUGUACGAUGGGAGGGUGGCGGCGCGCAGGCGCGAAUGUGAGGGUUGACCUCAGGCGCGUGCGUGCGGUUGAGAGUGGCGCUGUGGGGGCCGUUGGCGUUGGGCGGAGUUGCAGCGUGUGCAGAGCCGUGUGGUGGCGGCGUGGGGUUCGGCUGUGCCUGCCCGGGAGGGAGCCCGGGGGAGGCCGCGCGCUGUGCUGGGCCGUGCUCGGUUCUUUGCUCCUGCUCUUUGCUCCUGCUUCCUGAAGCUCCUCGUCCUCCUUCCCAAGUUGUGUGAAACUACGGUGGUUAACAGACCCGACCCUGUUCUCCCCGCGCUGCCCUGACCUGCAGCCCAGGGGCGGCCCGGCACAGCUGCCUGCAGCCGUAGCAGUGUCCCCAGAUCACGAAUGCCACCGAGGCAGGGAGCGGUGCCACGGCGCAGCUCCGGCAGCUCGCGUGCCCCAGCAGCUGGCCGUACCCAGCACGAGCGUCUUCUGGCUGCUCGGUGCUCGUGGUGCUCAAAUGAACUGGCAGCGUUUCGUGCCAAACAACACAAAUUUGACAUUUGGGCCUGUUAACGUUUGCUGCUCUCUUGGAAUACGCGCAGAAGUGUUUUCUGAUAAGGCUUGGUGUUGAAAAGGUGAGCAAACCUGAUGUUGAGCAUCCGUGAGCACUGCGAGCACACCUGUGAGCUACAAAGCACGUUCUGCAGUCAGUGGCAGCCCCGUGUCUUGCAGCAAGGAGUGCAGUGUGUGUGUGCGGGAACAAAGCCCCAGAGGAGCCAUGCAGUGUCUGCACCUCUCCAAGGCAAGUGAUGAUAGGGAAACGUUGCUCAAAUAGGCUUGCUCAGCUGUCCUUAUCCCAAAAAGAGGCAGAGGAGAGUCUUUAGCUUUCUUUAUUUGAAUAAAGGGAGACUCUCCUGGGGGCGUUUCCCUGUGGGGUGUCUCGCGUUAUCGGAGGACACGGCCUCCUUUUUAUCCCUAUCUCCUGGCUAUGUGGUCCCCCUUCCUUCCCUCACUGGCUGAACUGCUCGGAGGUUACAGACUUCCCAUCCACCUAAUACAUGUUUCCCUUACAUGUAACCCCCCUCCGUAUCAUGCCUUUCAUACGUAAUUAACUCCAAGUGUAUGCUGCCCAGGGCAGGUAAGUUAAUAUUAAUUAGCCUAUUAAGCCUGCACAGUGAAGUUCAUAAGUUGUCGAUCAACCUUUGGAACUGAAGCCUUACAAUUCUAGAAUCUGGAGCUCUGAUCUGCAGAGUUCUAAAAGAUCCAUCAGUAUUGCUGAAUGGCUGGAGAAAGCACUGAAAUACCCAAUCUGGGUACCUGGUAAAGGUGGACUGGGAGUGACUUGAUUACAGUAUGUAAAUAAUUCGAAAGGAAAACGAUAUGAAGUACUCAAAACCUAAAAGCAUAGAGAGGUCCAGUUGAUUGAAAGCGAAAGGUGCUCAGAAUAAUGUCAGAAAAUUCAGUAAAUAAAGGUGAUUUACUGGAAACUCUCUUGCUAUGGCAUAUGUUUUUUCUCUUGUUUUCUUCAAAUCAGGAUAAUGCCUUUUUAGAAGCUCCUUCACCACAUGGUAUCACUUAAGCAUGUGAUUCUACAGGUAAGAAAGCAAUCCAGGACUUGAAACCACCAAUCUUUAACUCUCAUAAAUUGGAGAUUGAAAUUAGUUAUGUUCUUAAAAUUGACUUGUCUUUGCCUUGGACUACAGAUAUCUUUCUGUUCUUGACAAAAUGAGGUCUUUUAUACUACACAGAGGAGAAACAAUAUAAUAGAGACUUCGUGCUAUCUUAGAGAUUACAGUUCUCCAUCCAUAUGUUUUAUAGUUCAUGAGAUGGUCGGUGUUUGGAGAGUUAUCUAUUAGCUCUACGUAAAAUAAUAUACAUCCAGUUGCCAAGAUUCCGUUCUUUCUGUAUUUGUUAAGAGAUCAGAAGCAGUUCACACGUGUUUGUGCCACAUCUGGGCAUUUCUAACUGUACUCAGCACUUUCAUAGUUGGGCAGGAGAACUUCCUCUAUCCUCGGGUUUGCUGAGCUGUGCCUAUGUUUGCUGGGAGAUGUUUCCAUCAAGCGGCUGACGUACAGACGAGCUUUUGGGCUGUCUCUGGCGGCUGUAGUCCAGUAGGUGGUGCUGCUGCUGCACACACGUGGCGAGCCCGAGUAGCGAGCAUCGCAGCAAACUUGUACUGUCCGACCAAAAUUACACCUCUUUUGACAUUAUUUCUAUAAUUGGAACUGAUAGCAACAUCUAUCUGAACUUGUUUUCGAAGACAUCUGGAUCUACCCAGUCUUUUGAUGCGUGCGUUCACUCAUGUUAAAUCCUGAAGCAGUAAAGGGUGAGACGGGAGGUGAGAGCUGAGUGCUCAGCGGGCAGUAAUGCAGCAGAAACAAUUAUACCCGAAGGCUUAACGUCCUUGUUGUUCAGCUUUAUGUGGACACACUGCUGUGCUCAGCACAGGGACCUCAUCACUGGUAAAAAUGUGGCUUUGGCAAACAAAACAGCCUUUGUCACAGAAAGUGAAAUCUAAAUGUAGACCCCAGUGGAGAUGCUGGAAGCUGUGACCCUUUCCUGGCAGGUACUGUCCUGGUCAGAGGGCAGUCUGUCCGGCUGGACUGUUGGUGGGCAAUUCCUUGGGAUCAAAGUUCCAAGUAUCUACUGAUGCUUCAAUUGCAAGCAUUGUUUUCCUGGAGAUAUUUUUGUUUUCCUUUUAGUUGAACUGUGCCUCUGAGCAAACCUUGCUGUUUUUAUUUAUUUUAUUUUUUGUGGUUGUUAUUGGUUAUUCUAUUUUGCUUUCUGUUUAUUGGUAUAACUUUGUUAUCGUAGGCAGAGCUAUCCAGUUGGUCCACAGAUGCAGUUAUGUGAUAUUUGCUAUUGCAAGGCAUCGUUUUUGUUGCUCCUGCAAAGUUUGGGCUGGAUUGUUUUUUUUCUGCCCUGGCAGGACUUUGGAAACCUUCAGCAGCUUCAGCUUACAUAACUGAAUUACAGAGAAAAUGCUGGCAGGCUGGGCAUGAGAUUACAAGUCAGCAGGUUGAGAGUUCCCAGUCUCUCUACGUUCUUAAUUGUGGACUUGAAAUUUCAUACACAAAUUCUUGUUUUAAGGAUGGUUUGGCUCUUGUUGGCUUGUUUGUUUGUUUGUUUUUGCUGUUACACACUCCUGAAACUUGGCCUAAUUAUUGGUGUUUGAAAUACCUGUUCUUACAGGAGUUUGUUUGUGAAGUGAAUUAGGUACGUAUCCUCAGCUCUGAGCAUAAUUAAACUCUCUAUAACCCGGGUACCCAACCUGAGAUAUGGUGCUAAGCAGAGAAACUGAGAGUUCUGACAUGUUCUGUACUCUGAAUGAUUACAGUAAUUAUGCCCCAUCAGUGAAAAGGCCCAGUGACUCAAAGUGAGGGGGAGAGGUGAAUCAGAAUCGAAUGAGGAUUAAGAGACAGGGCGGAGCAUCGUGGAGAUAAGAAGAAAAGGUCAGUAUUAGGGAGAACCGACAGAAAGCCUGCAUCCAUCAGGGCAUCACCUGCUCCAGAAGAGCCUGAGGUUCUGGGCUUUCUGUCCACCUGCUGUUGGCAGCUUUGUGAAGCCUGACAGAACAGUGGCUCCCGUAGGAAAUCACAGCCUGCCGGCGUGCAGCUGGUCUGUUCCACGGGUCUGCAUCAGGCCUACACAGCAGGCAGACUGUCAAGUGGUUCUUCAGCUCAACGUGUGCCUCCGGUAUGGAGGAAUACACCACGUCAAGGCGUGACUUCUCUCUGCAAGGCACUCUACCAUCUGUGUCAGUGUCACUGUCAGUGCCGGCUGCCUGGGGCAUUCAGCAGGCUGCAGGAGAUGCUGGUUCUGCAGCUCGGGGUGCUGGGAAGGCUGUGGCCAAGAUUACCUCUGUUCACACGAGGUUUGGAUGACAGCAAAGCUGAGAAGAUGAUGGGAGGCUGGAAAUAGGGACCAAGGGCCAGCGCAGUGGGUAGAAGAGCCUGGGAGGAUUAGAGGAGCCUGAAGCAGUGAGCCAGCAGCGUGGGAGGGUUGGGAAGCAGGAACUCGAGGUUAACAUGGGAACAGCGUAGGGGUACUUUGUGUUUAUGUGUGGGGAGAGACCUGGGAAGCACAGAACAAGGAGUGCUGCUGUGAUGAAUGGAGGGGUUGGUGUGGGGGGAGGAGACAAAAGCCUGGCAGCAGCGGCCGCUCUGCUCGCAGCAGCUCCGCCGUGUGCCAGCAGCCCCUGCUCUGCGCUGGCAUCUGACAGCACUGCCCCCACAGCUGCGUCUGUGCUGCUGCCCCGAGCCCACCCACCCCUGCUGGUGCCAGCGCUGCAAUGGGCUCCUUGGGUGACUUUGCUUUCAUUUCGUUACCCACUUUGCUUUUUAUCUUUUAUUAAUGCAAGCACAUCAUGUUGUGAGAAUUAGUAUGAAGCAAGCACCUGGAAUCCCAGCAUGAACCUGGCUUACGUGUCUGUAGUUUGACCACUUCUGCUUGUGUGUUAGGCUAUGGUCUCUAAUUAUAAUAUCAAAUGCCUUCAUCCUCUUCCUCUUAAUCUCUGUUCUGUUCAGUACACAGGAUUUACAGCAGGCGAGGAUGCGUAGUUAGAAUAGUAAAAAAGAUUGUAGCUUUUAAGUUCUGCUUCUCUUUUUGUUGCAUUUUAAAGGAAAGUAAGAUGAGAGAAAAGAAAAUGAGGUUUGCAAGAGGGCAACAGUGCACCACUAUAGAGAUCUGACUUUAGUUUCCUGUGUGGGAAUAUCUGUGCUGUGUGAACGAUGUGGACUUGUGUAUGGAAAAAAGAAAGCUGAGAGUGUAAACGUAGGGCAAAUUCCACCAUGGGACAUGACACAGGAAACUGGCUGAAGGAACUCAGAUUCAGCUGGAGAUGCUUCUGCUGCCAGUGGGGCACGAUUGGAUCGCCUUCGGGAGCUCUGUACUUUCCUAGUUAUGAAGGAUCAUAACACCUUGACCUGCAACAGUUACCACUCCUGAUCAGUGUUCCUUAGGCCAUAUUGGGUAGUUGUUCUGAGACACGCUGGGUGGUUGUUUUGGGUCAUCAAAAACAGAUUGAAGUAACUUGAGACAGGAUAAUCUAUUUGUAAAGGGAGUACUGUUUAUUUGAUGUCUUUUCUAAAGUUAAUGAGAUCAGAACUUUAAUUAGUCCCUCAGACACCUUUGGUUAUUUGUGUCUCUAUUUCUAUGCCCUCCAGUAGAAAAAGGGAUGAUAAAGGUACAUUAUUUUAUGGAAAUUAAUGUUUAAAGAAUGCUAAGGUGCAAUACUGAUGAGUAUCAAUGAAAGGCAGUAAGAAAAGGAAGAAGUCUCUCUUUAAAAUAGAACUUGAGGAGUCCUUAGCAAAGACUUUAUCUGAAAGAAGAGGUGGAAAUGUUGAAGUUACUCAGGCAAGUUCUGCUGACACUGAGCCAGGUUGUGAGCUGAAUGAAAGACUACUGAAGCCUACUUUGUCAUGCCGUGUUUUACUUCCAUGCUGUGAGCCUUCAAGUUGCCCAUAGUCAACACUUCUAGGGGUGAACUAUGCUAGGGUUAUUUUUGCUGUUUACACUGCACGUGAACCUCUAGAGAAACGUUGGCUCUUCUAUAGUAGCUGCAGAAUUCACAUGGACCCACGUUCUUUCAUCACCAGCAUAAACAUGUAUGGUCUACAUAAAAUGCCAAAUAUGCACAUCCCUGUUCUGUCAUUCCUUUUACUGACAGACUUUGAGACACAUUCUCCGAAGUGAGAGAAUUCCUGAAGUAUGCGUACAGCGGCAAGAUGUGGCAACAGCCCAUCUUGUUGCAAGAAUGGACUUGUUAAGUAUUCCCUUCUACAUCGUGUUAGUCACUACUUGAGCCGCAAGACUGCUUUCACAUGGUUUAACAUCCUGUUCUUGGUAAUGUUGUCUUACACCUGAUGCAAUGCUUAGGGAAGCUGAAAUUCCUGCAGAUGUUUCCUCUGAAAAUGAAACUGAAAUUUCUCUUAUAGUAAUUGUUGUGCAUGUCAAUGCAGCUGUCUCCAAACAAAGUCGGUUUGGAUUCUUGGCAAGCAAAUAUCAUUAUUUAGAGGCCAAUAAUGAAAGGAAGGUGUCUCACUUGAGCAGUUCAAGCUCUCUUUAUCAAUAUUUCCAGCUAUACGUCGCCUGAAGGAGAAAAGCAUGCAGAGCUACUAGUUGAUAUUUGUUCAAGUGCUAACUUUCACAUUAAAAUGUUGUAAUAUCUAUCCUAAUACAAUGGGGAAACCAAGAUGGUGGGUUAUCAGGAGCAUACUAAGAUACAGCAGCAUCUGUGCAAGCUUAACUAAAUGAUUAUUGUUUACAUAAAGGCAUCAACACGUGUAGGCACUGGGAUAAUUGUUAUUCACUGUGUAUUGAGCAAAAGGAUAGGAACUUCUUUGGUUGCUUUUUUAAAAUGUUACUUUCAAGGUUUUCUCUCACGGGUGCUAUUGACAGCCCUCACUUACAAAGGAAAUGAAUGUGGAGUUGAUUUGUUAUGCAGUUUCAUAUGCCGUAUUUGUUUCAUGCAGGUCUGGAUUCCCCAUGCUACGCUUCUUUAGGGAGAGAACUCAGCUCUUCAGCGUGAUUAUAGACCCAAAGUCUUUCCAGAGCUUCAGGGCUGCAGGAGGUUUUGCAGCUUGGCUUGGUACUUGGUUGAUUUAGGGAUGAGUGGUGGAUUCCAAUGAGGUUCCUUGCAAUGGGGAUGUUUGUCCUCUUCUUGGUCAAGGCUACCAGCAUGAUUUGGUGAGAGGGUAAAACACGUUGUUUGAUGGCAGUGGACCCUGAACUAUUGCCAGCAGAGGGAGCUCAAAAUGAAAAGCAGCUGUUGUCACUGGGGACAACAUGACAGCAAUUAUGGUCAGCGACCAUUACAAUGGGCAUUAUCACUUGUAAUAAUUUUCUUGUUAUAUUCAUGGGUUUUUUUUUUCCAAGGUAAAUAACUCUUGAGCUGACAGAGGAAAUGGUUGUAUCCAGCAGUGGGCAAAGCGCUGUCAGAAGUUCAAACACAUCGCCACUGGAGCAAAUCUGAGUUUAUUUCUGCAGAAGUUCCCAGAUCUCUGCUACCACCCUUAGCAUGCCACGCUAAUGGAAGGUGUCCCUGCCAAGAUGGGGUUCCAGCUGGAUCAGUUUUGGAAGACAGUACUUCCAAGCCUCCGUGUCCUGCCAUGAGUCUGCACACCACGCUGACAUCUUGCUUGUUUAUUCUUCUGCCUCCACCACUCAACAGCAGUUGCUGCAUUCACAGCAUUCCUCUUUUCAGCCAUGAUUUGUUACAAGAAAGAAAAGCUGAAGUUCUUCAGCUGGAGAGCUCCGUAUGUCUGCGUCAGUCAGCGGAGUGACUCAGUGUUGUGAUGCUGAUGUAGGUCUGACUGGAUUGGAAGCCUAAAUAUAUAUAACAGAGAAAAACUCGGCAUAGCUUCGUUUGAGAGAAAUGCUGUGUAGGAGGGGCUCUGGGUCUUCUCCAACGAAGACAGGUUAUAACAGAUGGGCUUUUUACCUAACCUGAGCGAGCCACUGUACUGACAGUGACUGGAGGUAUUGCAUCUACCUCAUCAUUCCUCUUGCAUCUGUCCCACCAAGGACAUGUGGCUCUGCAGUCCCUUGGCCUCCUCCUUUUGCCCUGGAGUGGGCUUGGGUGGCAAGAAAGCUGUGUGGCACCUCCAAGCCAUGCCCAUGGGAAUGGAAAGCUGCUAUUCGAUCAUCGUUUGGAGGGAUGCAUCUUACCCAACCAGCUGAAUGUGCAGUUGGAAUAGGUUAAUGGACAUGGGCAACGCAGCCCUUCUUGAAGAGCUCCUCAUUCCCAUCCUGGGGCAUCUGAGUUCCUGAAGUGGGCACAGUGUUUACAGAGUCGGCAAUGGGAUGUGCAGCUUCGCAUCAUCUUAAGGCAGAUCAAUGCGUCGCCUGCCUUGCCCUGCUCUCACCAGUAGAGAUGUGGUAGCCCAUUGGUCUUCCUGCUAUUGCUGUGAUAAGAAGCCCCCAAAAUGUUUCUGUUGCAGCCAUCAUGUCAAUGCAGGCCUUGAUGCAAUUGAGCACUGAAGAUACUUGGCCCUCCUUGUAACACAGCUUUACUUUGGUCCUGCGUGGUUUAAGGCACCAGACUCUCACUGGAGUUUACCUAAGGACUUGGGAUCUCACCAUUUUUAGUGGUAUAUGGAUACUUCAAACAAAGCAUCGGAGAAUUUUUAGUGUUCUUACUUAAAGAAAACCUGAGGUCAGAAACCGAGCUUUCUCAGGAAAUCUGUGGUCAGAGCAGGAAAGAGGACCCAGGUGUCCCGAGCUCUUAACGUUCAGCCUUUCCUCUCCUGCCCCCAAGCUGCCUGAGAGCAUGUUUGGAAGGAUGCCUGCUUGCUCAGAUACGGUGCAGACCUUCCUUCUUCUCUCGUCACAGCUGUGAACUUCUAGGAGGUCCUUAUAUGCUCAGCCGGAACACGUCUGAGUACGUAGACGAAACGUCAGGACCAGGACUGAGUGUGUGGCACUGAGAAGAGAAAUCCCAUCUGUGCUGUGGAGCAGGAGCUUGGUUUUGGUUGUGAUUUCUCCCUACCAGCUGGUCUGAGUAAUUACAUAAUGUAUCGAGCCAAGACAUCCUGCUUUAUGCAACAAGUAAAUUCAUUUACAACCAUCUUUUAAAGCAAAGAAGAUAUACGCUGCAUGUCCUCCUUUAACUGCACUACUUUUAAGAGUGCAAUCAACAAGCUAUUCAUUAGCUGGCUAGCAUAACAGUCUCAGAGGAGGCUGUGCCUGUUUUUCUUCUGCCCAGGACCUGCUCUGGUGUCAGGAGGUGAUGCAGUAGGUGCCUGCUGUGGCACAUGACCUUUCCCAAGGUGUGAACAGAGCUUUCUUGGUUGCCUCACACUCCUUACAGGAACCGCGGGGUGAGUGCCUGGGAACAGAUCGCUUUCCUGGUUGCAUCUGUGCUGUUUCUCUCCAUGUGGACUGGGAAAUGUGUAUGGGGCAGGCUCCGUACAGGGGAAUAGCAGGGCAUUGCUGUAGGUACUAACAUUGGCAAUAGGGAAAGCUGGCACUGUAUCACUGCUCUCUUCUUGGAUCCAAGACAAGGUCUCACUGUAAGGUACAAAGGAAUAAGGCCAACCACAGCCACUGUCAGCUCUGCUUCCCCACAGACGUGGUAUGUUAUGAAGACAAAAGCCCGGGAAGCAAGAACUCCACCAGAGAGGGAACAGGUGGAGGAAACGUGAAAUACAUCCCAGCAAAUCCAUUAUGGACAGUAUUAGCACUUCAUCUGCAACGCAUGACAUCGUAUCACUGUUCCAGCUGCCGAAUCUUUGAAGUGCCUUGUGAAACUUGUUCAGAACUCUGCAAGAGGAUUUAGCUGCUGAAGCUCCCCGACCUGUUUCAGCAGGGGGCUGUGGGCAGUUGGCAGUUAUUGGCAGGACGAGGCUGAGGAGCUAAUGCUGGUGCUAGCAGGAAGGAGGCAGGCUGACAUCGUGGGUUAGGACUCCUAGGAAGUAUUAGUAAAGAAUAGCCCAUUUGUCCUUUUCCCUGCAAAACAAAAAGCAAGCAUGCAAAUCAACAUGCACACACACCUGUGGGUGAUUGACGUGUUGGGCUGUUAUUGCCUUAUCCCUUGCACCUGCUUGCAUAGCUGUGACACCCAGAUUUGACUCUUGGGGAUCUCACGUGCUGUGAAGACACAUCUUACGUUGGGUGGUAUCCUCGAAAAUCCCUGUGCUAAGCAGAGCAAGUGCAAAGUUUACAGAUGCCCAUCGUCUGCUCAUUGACUCUCAGCAUCCCAAACGCCUCAGAGCUGUUUGUGAGUGCCCACGGAUUGAUGGCUGAAUGACUGAACACGCAGCACCACGAGGGCUGACAGUGCCCCACUCUUGGCACUGACCAACGCAGCUGUACCCAGCUCCAGUGAGUCACCUCAGUAAGCACUGUGCUCCCGCUGCUUGCCGGGACCACGGGACCCAAAGGCCACCAGCCCGGUUUCGGUGCCCUGGUUUUCUUUGCUUGCCCGGCGGUUCCGCCCCACGCCCCACCCCGCAGCGGCGUUAAUGAUGGGGUAGGGAUUGCUCUGGGCUGGCGGGAGGUGUGGGUCACUCUGCCAGGGCAGUGAGCCGCGGUCAGUGGGACGCCGUGACACAGUGCCCCGAGCUGCAGCCAUCGGGGCUGGGCCAUGCUGCCCCAGGCAGUCCAGCCGGGGGAAGGUGCCCUCAGAGGGCCAGCCAGUAGGUGAUUGGGAUCAGUUUCCCCGUGAUGAGACUGUUUUCUUCUCCCAAACUCUGCAGCUGGGUGCAGCGCUGCUCAGCUCCGUGGCAGCCCCAGCCCUUCCCUGGCCCAGGGAUCACUGCCAAAGCCCAGCACAGGGCAACCACUGAGCUCCUCUUUUCCGUUUGAAAGCUUAUAUAAAAAAUGAUGAUAAGCUAAAUCUAGAUCUAUGCAGCAAUUAUGUGGGAUGCCAGACCUUGCACCUGUAGCAUAAUACAUAACAGAGCCAGCUAACUGCCUUGUCUAAUGAUUGCUCUGAACAGCAUACAAAUCACAUUAUGGGGGGUGAGCUGAGAGCCAUUUUUCGGCCGAAGCUGAUGAGCUUGCAAAGACUUUCUUUGCCCCAUUCUCUCAGACUGCAGGUUUGUCCUCUUCUCCUUGGAAUCCUUCCUGUUAUUUUUCCACCUUCCUGUCACAGGAUGCAACGUUCAUCACGAUAAUAGAUCAAACUUUGAGUGGAAAAACUCCGCUUUACAGUUGUCUUUAGGAUUUCCCAGUUUCAUUUCCUGCAACCCAUAAUGAGCAGGUGGGGCAUUUUCACAGGAUGCUCGGGUGGGCAAGAGAUGCCUAUAAACAUUAUCCCACCUUAACCUCUCAGCUGUCACCUUGAGGUGGGACAGGCCAUCUUCUGAGGUAUCCUAGCUUAGAAGCUUGGAUAACUGGAGAAGACCAGCUCCUGAAUACCAGUCGGGCAAUGGCAGGAGAUGACUCCCACUCUCAUGAUGGAGAAGACAACUCCCACUCUCUCUGGGAACUUAAAAUGUCCGUAUUGAUUUCUUAACCUGAAAUGUGCUUUGGAAACCCUGUCUGGAGAGCCUGCUUUGUCUCCCUGCACCUAAAUACUUUUGAAGCGUGGUCAGAGAUGCUCCCAACAUGUGCUCUGGAUUCUCUGGUGAGAGACACAGGAGGAAGUUUUGAGGUGGAAGAGCAGCAUCGGUGUCAAUUUGUUUGGAAGGAUUUUUGUGGACUGGACUUCUGUGGCUUUGCUUGCUUCCUGUUACUCUUAUGUUAUCAGCAUGAAAAUAUUAAAUUAGGUGACCAAUGUAGCCAGUAAGGCUGGCCACAGCUAUUAUAUAACGUCUGGUUGCUGUAAACAUCUCCAUGAUCGUUUCUUUGAUUGCAGUGCAAACAUAUCCUGUGCACAAUAUGUGGGUUACCAGGUAGAGUUAUGUCAUGACUCAGGAUGAGCCAAUAUCAUAAGCAAACGUUAAUGAAGGGUGGGAUUUUCAUUAGUUUCCCCGUAUUGACCUAUUUCACUUCCUAUCCAAGGCAGCAGCUGAAAAGAGCUGGCCUAAAUGGAUCAGUGUUCUGCAGCCCAAAAUCGUGAUGCAGGGCUGGAGGGAGCCCCGUUCUACCCAGGGUGGCUGUUCUCAUCUGACAUUAUGACAAAUAGUCCUAGGCUCCUUCUGUAUUAAAAAUAAAAGCCUUGAACUUGCAUAUUUCCUUAUGGAAAAAAAAAAAAAUAGCUAUCUUGGGAUCCUGCUUAUACAACUGGAACAACUUUUGUUCUCCACCCCACCUAAAGACAAGCAAAAGGCUUUUAUGUUCUCUAGGUUAUUAAUGGACGGGGCUUCCUCUGCUGAGAGGAUGUUUGGAGCACUGCUAAAAUCUCUGCUCAGGUCCCUUGAAUCAGGACAAGUGAUCUUACAUCACCUUCCUGAGCUAAUUGCCAGCCUCUAAAAGACACAUUUUUAGUAACGCCUUUUGCCAAAUUAUCCUCUGCCUUUGCCUGCUUCAUCAUAGCACUUUUUUACAGGUAAAGAGCUCUCUGCUCUCCAAGGAGAAUUAAGUGGCUUUGUGACAAUUUAAAAAGGGGGGGGACAUUAAUUUGUGCUCCCUGUUCUACCUUCCAUGUGACAAAGAAAAGCAGUGGGGCAGUUUGUGGGGACAGGUGCCCAGAAGGAGGUGGUGUGAGAUGAUCUAACCCAUCAAAUCAAAGGGAAGUUGGACGAAGGAGGGACUGGCUCAGAGACAGAUAAAAAUCAUCCCAAACUGAAGGCAGAUUCGGCAACAAAGCACUGGCCUGACAGCCAGUCCACCCUCUCUGCAAACAUUAUGCAGCAGGUAACAGAGCUAUGCUCAUGAAUCAUUGCCUUGUUUAUUUUAAGAAAACCAACAAAUAUCUGACAGCAGUGAUGGAGUGACUGAGCUUGCCUGCUGCAUCCCGGGAAAGCCCUGCACAGCAGGGAGAGGGGAACAGCACCCACGGCCUGCAGUGCCACGCGAGCUCUGGCAGGUGGGUUUUUUAGUUUCUGUGCAACUGAGAAGCAGAAGUGGUUUGGAUUUUCCUACAUUGAAGCCUUCCCGUCUCUGUUCUCAUUUCAUGUGUAAUUAAGGGAUUUUUUAAAGAAAGUACACCAGAGAAACCCUAACUGAGCCCUGCUGUGCUUAACACUGGGUUGACCCCAAGCGAUGCUGUGGAUGAAGAAACAUUUUUCCAUCUGCCUUUUCUCUGCUCACAUAGCAGUCUUUGUCUUUCUGCUUUGGCAUGUGGGCUAAGGGGAGCUGAAAGUGCCCCACGUAGCUGCCACCCAGGGGGAAGCGUGGCUGUGUGCCAGCUGUGGGCUGCCUGGGCCGGGGUCACAGGGCUGCAGUGUGAGGGCUGAGCUGGCUGAGCGUGUUCUGCAAGAGGCGGAUGCUCACUGGGGUUUGCUGGAGGGUAAGGUAGAGCUUUGUAUUGUGAAUGCACUGGGAAUCCUGGCCUACGCCACCCAGCUUGUGGAGGAUGCUGAAUCCGUCCUACACAGGAGUUACAAACUACCACUGGCUUUAUCGCCGCCAGCUCCUCACGGUGUGAUGCAAAGUCAUCUUGGCGACAGCCCAGAAUAUUCUUCACAUUCACGUAUAACCACUCCACCACCCCUUUGGAUUCUCCACUGCUACGUACAAGACUUCUGCAGAGCAUCCUGGGUUGUAAAAGCCUUAAGACGGAAAUGGUCUUUCGGAUCGGUGUUUAUCCAGCACCUGCCUUCCUGCCAGUCUGGCCAAAGACUGGACUCCCUUCAUAUUUCCACAUCAGAGAAAGGUUAAUCAUAACAACCCUCGGCCUCUCGCGUGUCUGGAUGAUGAAUCCUUCCCACACCUCUGUAGGACCAGUGCAUGUAGGAGACCAGUCUUGGGGUGUGAUGCCACAGUGCCCCAGUACUGAAAGUUCACAGGCUGAGAACUCUGAGAAACACCGCCCCUUUGCACAGGUAGGGAAACUGAUACACCGGGAGGGAAGAAGACCACGUGCAUAUGACCAGCUGGACAGAACUGCACUGGUCAGCCCUCUGUGCUCCAACCAGGUGCCUGGCUGCCCUGCAGCUCCCCAGCAUGGGGUCAUAAUGACAGCUGUGCCAUGCCACGCCAUGCCAUCCCAACCCCAGCAAGCAGCCAGAGGCUCUUCAUCCCAGCACACUGCUCUUGUGCAAAUGAAGCAGUAGCACAAUCAGAAGGAGCAGAAGGGCCUGCUUAAUCUGCUGUGACAGAGGCCCACCCAACAGGGCUUGGCCCCAGCUGGGAGCCCAGUGAUAAAUGCUCAGCCUUCACACUGCCUGUCCGUAACUGCAGCCAGUAGCUCCUUGAAACGUGCAACUUGCCAAAGUGGGUUAACAGGAACGGUGUAAUAGGAGGGAUUAACGUCUGGCUAUGAUCCUGCCAUCUGCUAUUUCCUACACCUCCUCCUGGUGCACGUCAGCACCAAGAGAAGCAGCACUGACCUGUAGGAGAACUGAGCUGGCUACACAGGGAUG